Molecule: long non-coding RNA, 805 nt
Organism: Paramacrobiotus metropolitanus
Lineage: Eukaryota; Metazoa; Tardigrada; Eutardigrada; Parachela; Macrobiotidae
Exons: 4
Source: RefSeq, a predicted model, not a curated record
GUUCCGCGAGAGUUAAGGCUGUCCGAUCAAUCCAUAUUAUCGCUAACAUAAAAUGUGGAAAUUUAACAACUGGAUUGGCAAAUGGUGUUGAUGGAUUAGACCGAAUGAAAAUUGGCCUGUCUUGAAGCGUACUGUCUGUUGUUUUAUCGCUGCCUAAUCGACAAGCUGGAAAGUUUAACUAACUGGCAUUGUGGAUGGUUUGAUGGGUGUCUACCGGGCAACCGGAAAUUCUUGCGCAAACCCCAUAAGAGAAAAUUAACAAUGGAUGUGCCGGUACGCGAUUCACCUGGCGUUCCGGUGUGGUGGAUUGGCGGAGCGGAUCGGGAGCGGUAUAAAUCGAUCAUCGCUCUAACUAUGAACUGGAAGCAAUCCGGCCGGUAUGUGUGUAUUGUGUGUGAGCAUGAGAAAUGGGUAAUAAAUGGUAAGCGAUUGAUAUAAAUGGGGCUAAUGCAGUUUGUAUGCUGUUACUGCAAAAGUUAGUUGUUUAUAUUCUAUUCCGUGUAUGUGGAUUGAAGUGUUGUGCAUGCUGACGCACAUUGGAUGGUGUAAAAUCUAAUGGGAGAACGUAUGCAUUAAGCGCUGGGGCUGGUGUGUAUUAUCCUAGUUUCCAUUUCCGGGAGAGGGACUCCCAGAGAGGAGAGAGAAGUCCUCUGUUUGCCUACCUGUGUUGGAGCAUUUUAAGUGGUGCAUAGGUAAGUUCCUUGGAUUGACGAGUAAACAGUGUGUGAGCAUGAAUUGGCGGUACAUUGAAUUAUGUUUUAUUGGUUGGGAUGUGUGCACUGUUUUCCACGAUGCAUAUGCCAAC